AAAGAAUACAGGUCAACCGAAUUUGAAUUCCGAGUAUCCAUCGAUCUGCAAAUUAUUAUUUUUUAAAUAUUCUUUCAUAAAAAAUAAAAAAUAUUACAAAUAUGUAUAUUAUUUUAAUUACAAAUCUAUAGUUUAUUAUUUUCUUUACUAAUAUAUAAAAAUUUUAUUAGAUGAAUAAUUAUAAUUGAGAAAAUUUUAUUAUAAUUAAUAAUACCUGCAGGUUCAACGGUUUACAGGUACAAUUUGACAGAGGAAAAGCAAAUUACAGAAAAAUUUUCUUUGUAAAUUAUACGGAUCAGAUUUUAUAAUAAGAAAAAUAACUCAAUCCACAAACUUAUUAAUGGAUCAAGCAGAAUCAGUUUGACUAGCUUUCCAAUGCACAAACUACCUUUUUUUUACCCAAAAAAAAUAAAUCAGCCAAUCAUAUGGUGUUGAUUUGCCACAUCAGCCUAGCUUCUGAGUUAUCGAACAAAAAUUCGGCUGCAUUAGAUUUCGCUACACAUUUCAAAACCCAAUAAAAGCUCAAUGUCUAAUGGCCCAUUUAAAUAUUCACACCAAUAAGAUACUCCCAAAACUCCACCUCACCAAUCAGGCGUCCUAAAAAGACUCUUGACUUUUUCUUUUCUUCUCCUCAUACUCGACAUUUCUUCAAACGAUGGUCUUCUCAUCUCCCAUACCUUCCUCCAUGUCUCAUGAUUAUAUAUUGAUUCAAUCCACAAACUCACUACCUGUAGAUCAAUUCGACUGCUUGAUUCAAUUUCUUCACUACGAAAUACAAUUUUCCAGUUUUAAAAUACAAUUCAAACGAUUGUAUCAUAUCUCGAACCGUUUUGAUAUGUUUCCAGGCCUAUAUGGUGGUGCGUUCGGACCUAAAGGCACUGAGAUAGUACAACUUCAUCGUAAGUAUGGUCACUGGAGUGAUGCCGAGGAAAUAACUCCUCAGAUACUGAAAUCUUUGAAUAUAGUGAGGCGGUGAAGUUACAUGGGAUCCAAAUGUGUUGGCUGGCCAGGUGAAAUUUCGUGCAAGUGUUGGAAGGGAAGUCGUGUGAGGGAUCGUGGAUUGUACCCAGGUGAAAUGGGAGUGGUAAUGACAGUUUACUCAUCUCUCUGAGUUUCGGUUUUAUGAGAACUACAAUUACUGACCUAAAACCCAGACACGUAAACCGAUAAAAAAUCCAGAGCAAAAGUCAAAACCGUGCUUCGGUUUUCCUAUUGAAAUAAUAGAUACACUAGGUGAUAACCCGCGCCUUGCGCGGGGUGAAUUGACUCGGUGAUUUAAUGUUUGACAUCCAAAAUAAAAUCUGUAUUUGCAAUAUAUGAUUGAUAAAGUAGGACUUUAUAACACCGGAAGAAAGUUUCAAGAACGGUAAAAACAUAUUUAAACAAUAAAAUAAGUCUUUUAUAACUUAAAAGCUCAUUUAUUAUUAAGAUGCAUAAUUAAAGAAUUUAUCAUAAUAGUUCUUAAGUAAGAUAUUGAAAGCCAAAACAAAAAUAUAAAUGUGAAUAGAAUACUAAUAAAACGAAAAAAUCUCCAGUGUGGAGCUGCGCACCUUAGCGAGCUUGGUCAUGUCUCGGUUCUAAGAUACAGAGUGUACUCUGCUUCAAAGUGUUCUCGUCGAGAUGAAUAGUCAUGUCUCUCUUCUAAGAGAAAAGAGUGGGUUAUAUAGUUCAUACAAUAUAUACACGUUCAAGAACCAUUAUGCAGUGUGGAUGAAAAAUGCUUAGCGAGCUCGGUGAUGUAUCGUUUCUAAGAUUCAGAGUGUUCUCUUCUUGAAAGUGUUCAUGCUGAGUUCUUCGCCGAUAUGAAUGUUUAUAUCUCCCGUAUAAGAGAAAAGUUAAUUACGUCUUCAUCUUCUCGAUUCUGUGUUUCUAACUUACAUGUGUUACUAUCUAGUGCUUCGCAAUAUGCACUGACAGAGCACACCCGUAUAUGUUCUGGAAAGUCUUCAUGAUGGGAAAUAAUCUUUACGAUGGUACGGUGAUGUCGUAGCUUAAGCUUUACGUGAUAACUCAUUCCACGAGUGGUUUUUUUAAUUUUCUAGAUCAAUGAAACGUUUCCAAAAAUUCUGUAAUAGCAAAACCAAUUAAGGCAACUAAUUUGUGAGAGUCUCUGUACAAUGGACACGUGUCAUACAUGGUGUGAAAGCAUUAACUCCAAUGCUCCUCUUUUAAUAUAUAAGGGAUACAUUUAAUUGGUUUGACCAUGUUGGCAUUUGAAUCUAAAGGUUAUCCAGAGAGAUGUUUAUGUAUAUGCAGCUUGGGAGUUCCAUGGAAAAAGUAAGAAUCGCAGACUUUGGGUUUAAAACCCAAUGGAAAGGUGAUACAAUAGAGCCAACCCGUCAGUUAUUUGUCCUGCGGGUUAAUUGUUUGGUUUUUGCUGAACCGGGAAUGCGACUAUACGUGACAGGCGGGGAUAUAAACAACGGAUGUGUUGGACAUAAGAUCUUGAUGAGCUUUCGUUGAAGCUGUUAAUCAGCUUGGCCGUAGUGAACGUGCCUAAGCUUUCCUCUUCUCUUUGUUCCUGAAAUUAAUAUCUGAAGGCUAUUAUAACUGUAAGCAGUGGGGCAUACCCAUAUAUUCUCUUGGAUAUUUUCUUUCCACCAUAGUAGCCACGCCUAUGGCUGUUCUGAAUCUCUUUAAUAACCCUGGCUUGACCAGUUUAACAAUAACCAUGGCUUCAUUCUUACCCUGGCUGUUUAUUUCUUUUUUUCCUGUAUUUCAUGUUUCUCUACUACAGAUAGCUCCUUUCUCAUUUUCUACUUUCUUUAUAUUUUCUUACGAACAGAAAUACAGAAAGGAAAAGUGUAAGCAGGAGAGUUCAGAAGCUACCGGCAUAUACUUUCACAGAAUAGUACUUAUGUGCUUUCCUGAGCUAUAAACCACACAUGCCUCUAGAAAAUGACUCACUCCUUACAGAGGCUAAUAUCUCUAAGGCAACAUGCUACAGAGGGACAAAGGGACCCCCGUAUCUUUAUAUAAUUGUUCUUUCUUUCACAGGACAGCUCAAGAGAAGAAGAUGACACCUAUCGAAGAAAUCAAAUAUCUUGACAUGUAAACGUAAUGAAUUUCAGUUUUCUAACUGGAUAACAAACCUCUAAUAUUUUCUUUUUGUAAUUUUGAUUGUUAUAGGGUUACUUAUAUAUUUAAUUUUGUCGCUCUUUCUUUACCAGGAGCAUUGAGAUCGCAUAAUCUUUAAGGCUGAAAAUUGAAGUUCAGAAAUGCCUCCCAUUUGCAGCUCGAGGUAAUGGUUUCACCUGCAUAGCCGCUAAAAACUAUCAUUUUUUGCCUCCUUUCUAACCAAAAAGAGUAUUAGUACUACAUAUCAUGCCUACUGUCUGAUGUUGUUUUAGUUUGUCUCAUAUGAGAGAGAGAGAUCUUCGAUGUAUACAUAUAUAAUACUUGGGCAAAGGUUGUAUGUGUUUUGAUUGAAGAUGAACUUGCAACGGUGUAAGCAGGGGAUUAGCAAAGGCCCCCGUUAAUGGAUUGUUGUUACCUUUUAUACCAAGUCAUGUUCCAUCCGGUAAAAGAGGAACCGGGUUAUAUUGUGGAAAAGGUUGCAGAAUUAGCAAUCAAUGAAUUUUUAGAUGCAACCUGCAAGUCCUCUCUUUUGGAUUUUUUAUUAAUCAUAACUGAUACUAUGAGGUCUUAGAGGGUGCGUGAGAAUGGAACGGUUUCAGAUGUCUACGAGGUAUAGUUCGUUACUCAUUACUAGAAUUGUUUUCAAGAUUCUCAUGGCUUGCCUUUCUACUGCUUCUUAAUGUUUUUUGUUUUGUUUUUGGCAUCAAUCAAACAUUCAUUCAAAAGGGAAGCUACUCCGGUUCGUUUAGACCAGCUACUAGAGCGGAUCUAGGUUGAACCAGAACGUGACCUCGUGAUCGUCCUUCCUUGGCCAGGAAGUCCGCACGGGUAUUGUUGUCACGAGGUACGUACGAGAAUUCAACAUCAUGAAAACGAGAGAAAAGAAAUUUAAUAUCGUCUAAGUCCGGUGCUAAGGCAGGCCAUUCUUCAUCUCUACGAGUGAGGUUUAUCAGCUGUUGACAAUCAGAGCCGAAGCUAACCCCAUCAAAGCCUUUUCGCGGGCUUCUGUCAUCGCCCAAAUAAGUCCGUUAGCUUCUGCGUGAAUCGGAGCUUUUGCACGAGGGGCACACUUUUGUCCCUGCAUUAGCACAAUAUCACCUUCUGUUAAUACGAAGCCCAUACCCAUCCAUUCGUCCUUAUCAGACCAGGAGCCAUCUACUUCACACCUGAACCGCUUUCCCGCGUCAGGCGGAACUUGGGUAGGCCUCUGUUCUUGAUUUGAAUAAAUUUAAAUAUAUAAUGUAUCCUCCAAGUUUCUCUUUUCUCGGAUGUUUCACUAAUUUAUGAACUUAUUUCUUAAAGUAAAUAACCUUUAACUUUUUAAAAUUAAUGCAUUAAUCAAAAGCAAAGGAAUGUGAGAUUAAAUUUAUUAAAGAAUGACAACACUAUAUAUGCAAAAAUACCACCCUAAUAAUUUUGGUUUAUCAUAUUGACUAUUAUAAAAAGUAAAUAUGAUAAACGAUUUAACCGUUUUAAACUCAGCAUUUGUCCAUUUUGAUGAAAGUAAUAGAUUUUCAAAUACGACCCAAAAAGUGUUCAACGGCAACUUGUUAUGACCAAAUAAUUCUUAUUAAUAUUUUAAUUUACCAGUUCUUUAAUUUUCCAUAAAUAAGCAAUGCAGUAGUUCAAUUUUUCAUUUACCAUUUUAAUAAUAUACUCUAGUUUUUUUCAUUUAAUUUACAAUAUAUACAAAUCUUACAUGUUACUUGAUGAUCUCACAUUUAAAUAUUGGUUAUGGUUGCAUCUUUGUCUUUUUAACUCUUCUUGAUCUUUUCGAUCUUGUACACAAUUUUGGCUACAUUUAAUAACACUGUAAUCAUGUAUUUUAUAAAAAGUUCUAAAUUUGUUAUUCACACUUGUAUUUCUUUAAAAUAUAAAUUAUUAUUUAUUAGAAAUAAAUCUACAUAUAUUAAAACAAAUAUUAUACUACUUUAUUGUCAUAUAGAAAUAUUCAGACAUUUAUUGUUAAAAAAGUAAUAUAGAAUUUUGAUUGGACAUUAUAGUCCCAACAUUUAUGGAGGAGAACGCUUGCAAAAAGCCCGGCAUUGACAAGACCCCUUAAUCUCCCUCUCACAAACACUUCUACCAUAAGGUCCAUAUACCUUUACACAUAAAGAUUUACACAGU
Long non-coding RNA from Brassica rapa (field mustard), 5205 nucleotides. RefSeq lists it as uncharacterized. NCBI's taxonomy places the organism in Eukaryota, Viridiplantae, Streptophyta, Magnoliopsida, Brassicales, Brassicaceae. The record is from RefSeq and is a predicted model, not a curated record.